CCGAUUGAAUGGCUCAGUGAGGCCUUGGGACUGGCUCAGGAAGGUCGGCAACGACCAUCCAGAGCCGGAAACUUGGUCAAACUUGGUCAUUUAGAGGAAGUAAAAGUCGUAACAAGGUU
RNAcentral lists this ribosomal RNA (119 nucleotides) under Epibryon minutissimum. RNAcentral describes it as "Cladophialophora minutissima partial 18S ribosomal RNA". It matches the Rfam family "Eukaryotic small subunit ribosomal RNA", at positions 1685 to 1801 of the family's 1831-position model. The record is from RNAcentral. Lineage: Eukaryota; Fungi; Ascomycota; Eurotiomycetes; Chaetothyriales; Epibryaceae.